UUUAUGCUUUAAAAUUAAAUUUUUAAUAGAAUAUUUGUGCUUAAAUGAUUGAUUUGUAGAGGAUUUGUAAUUAUUGGAUUUAGAGUAUUUGGAAAUAAAAAGGGCUUAAAAAAUGAUUUUAAUUGCAUAAAUUAUUCUUAGAUAUUCUAAUAUUUAUUUGUGCAGCUGAAGUUAGAGUUUUAUUGGUCCAAAUUACAAAUUAAAGCCCAAAAUCAGGUUUUGUUUGGAAAAUAAUGUACAGCUGGGCCAAACAGGCAGUUUUUACCCUUGCACUCCCAGAUUUCUCUACAUGCACCCCCCAGUUUUAAACCAGGCCAACAACCAAGCCCAAACACUAAACCUUUUCUCCUACACCUCAUAAAUUUUCCUACCCAUACCCCUCCUAUCACUAACUAAGUCAGAUUGCCUAAGAUGGUGCCACAUGGCAGUCCAUAAAUAAUAGAUCCAACCAUCCAGAUGAUGCCAUGUCACUAAUCCCUACACUCACCAUCGCACCUCGCAUCUCUGCAAUCAAUCCAGUUCAUCUUCAUCACCUGCAACCCAGAUCGCGGAUUCCAUCAUCUCACCGUCAUCACGAAUCGCACAUCAACACCAUCUUCUUCCUCGAAAUCGCGCCACCACCAGCCACACUUCUCGCCGUCACCAUCUUCUUCGCACUGCUAACGCCUUCUUUGGACCACCAUCAGAUCGCGAAUCGAAGCGAAAUCCUCCGCCACCAUCAGAAACCGAAUUCGCACCAUGGCCGUCGCGACUCCACCAUUUUCGCACUUCCGCCGCGCCACCUUGAUGCGCAUUGAAGAAAUCUCCUCCAUCACCGCAUCAGAACCUGCAUCAAAACCAGACCUGCAAUAAACCCAGCAAUAAGCAGAAACAAUCGCGCCUUGAAGAGACCACGCGAGUUCUUCACUCUCUCCAUGACGGCGCAGUGCAGGGGAAGCAACAAGGUUUUUUUUCCAAAUCUGAAAACCCUAAUUUGGGUAGAAAGGGAGCAGACACGUGGCAGCAUCUCAUUGGCGUGUCAUUUCUCAGUC
This 1031-nucleotide long non-coding RNA is filed under the name Vigna radiata. Its description in RNAcentral is "long non-coding RNA (VRAD_LNC005810)". Lineage: Eukaryota; Viridiplantae; Streptophyta; Magnoliopsida; Fabales; Fabaceae. The record is from RNAcentral.